GACGAACGCUGGCGGCGUGCCUAAUACAUGCAAGUCGAACGAGAGCGACCGGUGCUUGCUCUGGUCAAUCUAGUGGCGAACGGGUGAGUAACACGUGGGUAACCUGCCCAUCAGAGGGGGAUAACAUCCGGAAACGGAUGCUAAAACCGCAUAGGUCUUCGAGCCGCAUGGCUUGAAGGGGAAAAGAGGCCCAAGCUUCAGCUGUUGGUUGGACCCGCGGUGCAUUAGCUAGUUGGUGAGGUAACGGCUCACCAAGGCCGUGAUGCAUAGCCGACCUGAGAGGGUGAUCGGCCACAUUGGGACUGAGACACGGCCCAAACUCCUACGGGAGGCAGCAGUAGGGAAUCUUCCGCAAUGGACGCAAGUCUGACGGAGCAACGCCGCGUGAGUGAAGAAGGUCUUCGGAUCGUAAAACUCUGUUGUUAGGGAAGAACAAGUGUUAGAGUAACUGUUAGCGCCUUGACGGUAUCUAACCAGAAAGCCACGGCUAACUACGUG
RNAcentral lists this ribosomal RNA (498 nucleotides) under uncultured bacterium. RNAcentral's name for it is "partial 16S ribosomal RNA". It matches the Rfam family "Bacterial small subunit ribosomal RNA", at positions 28 to 507 of the family's 1533-position model. The record is from RNAcentral.